RNAcentral lists this ribosomal RNA (1610 nucleotides) under human gut metagenome. RNAcentral describes it as "bacterial LSU rRNA". The stretch from base 404 to 1610 matches the Rfam family "Bacterial large subunit ribosomal RNA", at positions 1 to 2570 of the family's 2925-position model. The record is from RNAcentral.
UCAAACGCCUGUGGGGCGGGGUGCUGGCCGAUGGCUGUGCCGGCCAUCCGCUCCCCGGGGAGGACGUUGUCGCCGCGACGGCGCGCCGCAUCAACGAAGAGCUUGGCAUCACGCGCGAGCCCGAUCAGCUCAAGCACCUCGGACACGUGGUGUACCGCGAGGACCACGGCGACGGCCGCUGCGAGUGCGAAUGGUGCGAGGUCUACCUUGCCCAUGUUGAGCCGGGCGAGCUGCAUAUCAACCAAGAGGAGAUCUCGGAAGUGCGCCGCGUGGCCCCGUCCGAGCUUAAAGGCUACCUGCAGGGUCACCCCGAGCAGCUGGCCCCCUGGCUCCGCGAGGCCCUCAGCGACCCAUCCAUCCGUACGGAUCUCGCUAUGUGAAACAAAAGACAGUCCCUUUGCCACAUCCAAACCGUCACAACAUUCGAUGAAAAUCUCGAAAUCGAGGAAAAGCGUCGAAUGUUGUGACGCUUUUCCUGUCUGUGCCGGCGAGCUCCCGUGUCAUCUGGGGGUAUAAGGCUAGCAAGUGUUUAUUUGCGAGGCUUAAGGGGCGCCCCGUAUGGAUAUCGAUAACUUUGAAUGGUGGUAUAGCGAGGGCGAGGCUCCGGACGAAGCGAUCAAGCGAAGCGAGUGAGCCCGAGGUCCCUAGAAAAACCCCUAGGCAGGCGCGUGCGCGCCCGUACCGCAAACCGACACAGGUGGGUGGGUAGAACAUACCGAGGCGAUCGGGUCAACCAUGGUCAAGGAACUCGGCACAAUGGCCCCGUAACUUCGGGAGAAGGGGUGCCCGCGCGUACGUGAACGGACUUGCUCCGGGAGCGGAGGCGGGCCGCAGUGGAGAGGCCCAAGCGACUGUUUACCAAAAACACAGGACUCUGCAGAAGCCGCAAGGCGACGUAUAGGGUCUGACGCCUGCCCGGUGCCGGAAGGUUACGCGGAUGCGUUAGCACUCGUGCGAAGCGCUGAAGCCAAGCCCCGGUAAACGGCGGCCGUAACUAUAACGGUCCUAAGGUAGCGAAAUUCCUUGUCGGGUAAGUUCCGACCUGCACGAAAGGCGCAACGACUUGGGCGCUGUCUCGACCAUGGACCCGGUGAAAUUGCACUAUUCGUGAAGAUGCGAAUUAUAUAUGGUUAGACGGUAAGACCCCGUGCACCUUUACUACAAUUUUUUAUUGAUUAUUUUUAUAAAAUUGUGUAGAAUAAGUGGGAGUUUAAAUUUAGUUUUAAACAACAAUGAAAUACCACUCGUUUUAUGAUUAAUAACUAACUUUAAAAAAAAAUUUAAAGGACAUAUAUAAGAUUGGUAGUUUAACUGGGGUGGUUUUCUCCAAAAAGGUAACGGAGAAAUAUAAAGGUAAAUUAAUAAUUAUUGUUGUAAUAAUUAUUUAUGUAUAAUGGCUAAAAUUUGCUUGACUGUAAGAUUGACAAAUCAAACAGAAACGAAAGUUGAUCAUAAUGACCCGGUAAUUCUUUAUGGAAAGGUUAUCGAUCAAUGGAUAAAAGGUACGCCGGGGAUAACAGGCUGAUAAUUCUCUAGAGCUCAUAUCGACGGAAUGGUUUGGCACCUCGAUGUCGGCUCAUCACAUCCUAGAGCUGAAGAAGGUUCUAAGG